UGAGGAAUAUUGGUCAAUGGGGGCAACCCUGAACCAGCCAAGUCGCGUGAAGGAUGAAGGUCUUAUGGAUUGUAAACUUCUUUUAUACAGGAAUAAAUUGGGGGACGUGUCCCCUUUUGCAUGUACUGUAUGAAUAAGGAUCGGCUAACUCCGUGCCAGCAGCCGCGGUAAUACGGAGGAUCCGAGCGUUAUCCGGAUUUAUUGGGUUUAAAGGGUGCGCAGGCGGGAUGUUAAGUCGGCGGUGAACUUUUGCAGCUCAACUGUAAAAGUGCCUUCGAUACUGGCCUCCUUGAGUGUGGAUGAAGUAGGCGGAAUUUGUGGUGUAGCGGUGAAAUGCUUAGAUAUCACGAGGAACUCCGAUUGCGCAGGCAGCUUACUAAGCCACAACUGACGCUCAUGCACGAAGGCGUGGGGAUCAAACA
This 422-nucleotide ribosomal RNA is filed under the name uncultured bacterium. RNAcentral describes it as "bacterial SSU rRNA". It matches the Rfam family "Bacterial small subunit ribosomal RNA", at positions 355 to 774 of the family's 1533-position model. The record is from RNAcentral.